This 253-nucleotide ribosomal RNA is filed under the name uncultured bacterium. RNAcentral's name for it is "partial 16S ribosomal RNA". It matches the Rfam family "Bacterial small subunit ribosomal RNA", at positions 524 to 776 of the family's 1533-position model. The record is from RNAcentral.
UACGAAGGGGGCUAGCGUUGUUCGGAAUUACUGGGCGUAAAGGGCGCGUAGGCGGCCGUUUGCGUCGGAUGUGAAAGCCCGGGGCUCAACCUCGGAACGGCAUUCGAUACGGGACGGCUGGAGACCGGGAGAGGAGAGUGGGAUAGCCAGUGUAGAGGUGAAAUUCGUAGAUAUUGGCUGGAACACCGGUGGCGAAAGCGGCUCUCUGGCCCGGUUCUGACGCUGAGGCGCGAAAGCGUGGGGAGCAAACAGG